GCGGGGGUGGCGGAAUCGGCAGACGCAGCGGCCUUAAAAGCCGCGGACCUCACGGUCAUGAGGGUUCGAGUCCCUCUCCCCGCA
Molecule: transfer RNA, 84 nt
Filed under: Planctomycetota bacterium
Lineage: Bacteria; Pseudomonadati; Planctomycetota
Description: Planctomycetes bacterium (activated sludge metagenome) tRNA-Leu
Rfam family: tRNA
About the family: Transfer RNA (tRNA) molecules are approximately 80 nucleotides in length.
Source: RNAcentral